CCCUUAGAUGCUCUGGACCGCACGCGCGCUACACUGGUCGAUGCAACGAGUUUCUUUCCUUGGCCGACAGGCCUGGGCAAUCUUUGAACAUCGAUCGUGAUCGGGAUAGAUUCUUGUAAUUUUUGAUCUUAAACGAGGAAUUCCUAGUAAACGCAAGUCAUCAGCUUGCAUUGAUUACGUCCCUGCCCUUUGUACACACCGCCCGUCGCACCUACCGAUUGAAUGGUCCGGUGAAAUCUCCGGACUGGCGUGAGUCGGAGCAAUCUGACAAACGCCGGAAAGUUGAUUAAACCUUACCAUUUAGAGGAAGGUGAAGUCGUAACA
This 324-nucleotide ribosomal RNA is filed under the name uncultured eukaryote. RNAcentral describes it as "partial 18S ribosomal RNA". It matches the Rfam family "Eukaryotic small subunit ribosomal RNA", at positions 1470 to 1796 of the family's 1831-position model. The record is from RNAcentral.